UUUGAUCCUUCUUAUCAUUCUCGAGACAUUUUUCACCUGUACGAGUGGAAACUUUUCCAUGGAUGUAACUUCAUUGGAGAUGUGAAUCAAUGAUUCUAGCAAAGACCCAGUUGGAGGAAAGCCUGAGGAGACCAUGAGAGGAGGUAGAGUUAUAUCCAUGGUGUUGUUGCCGUUCAGAGUAACUUUAUAUUCAUUGUUCUUUGCAUGUUUUAAGUUUAGAUUUCAUGGAGAAAACUCCUAUGUUAGGACAAGAUGAUAAUUAUAAACUAAAAUAUUGUGGUGGAGUAUUGACUGAUUCUGUUUGUACUGUUGUUGUAGGUGACAAUAAGAUGGCUAGUUGGAGAAGUCCCGAAUUUCUGCCACUUGGAGGGCGUACCGCUCUUGCCGGGUCAGUUAUAUUCUCCAUCAAUUUAAUAUUCAGAGAAACAUACAUAUACAUAUGUACACG
RNAcentral lists this long non-coding RNA (448 nucleotides) under Panax ginseng (ginseng). RNAcentral describes it as "long non-coding RNA (PGIN_LNC000871)". The record is from RNAcentral. Lineage: Eukaryota; Viridiplantae; Streptophyta; Magnoliopsida; Apiales; Araliaceae.